CCUACGGGGAGCUGCAGUGGGGAAUAUUGCACAAUGGGGGAAACCCUGAUGCAGCGACGCCGCGUGAGUGAAGAAGUAUUUCGGUAUGUAAAGCUCUAUUAGCAGGGGAGAAAAUGACGGUACCUGACUAAGAAGCCCUGGCUAACUACGGGCCAGCAGCCGCGGUAAUACGUAGGGGGCAAGCGUUAUCCGGAUUUACUGGGUGUAAAGGGAGCGUAGGCGGCCAGACAAGUCAGAAGUGAAAGCCCAGGGCUCAACCCUGGGACUGCUUUUGAAACUGCCAGGCUGGAGUGAAGGAGAGGUAAGCGGAAUGCCUAGUGUAGCGGUGAAAUGCAUAGAUAUUAGGAGGAACACCAGUUGCGAAGGCAGCUUACUGGACUCUAACUGACGUUGAGGCUCGAAAGCGUGGGGAGCAAACAGGAUUAGAUACCCCAGUAGUC
This 440-nucleotide ribosomal RNA is filed under the name uncultured bacterium. RNAcentral describes it as "partial 16S ribosomal RNA". It matches the Rfam family "Bacterial small subunit ribosomal RNA", at positions 338 to 795 of the family's 1533-position model. The record is from RNAcentral.